GACGAACGCUGGCGGCGUGCUUAACACAUGCAAGUCGAACGGAAAGGCCCUGCUUUUGUGGGGUGCUCGAGUGGCGAACGGGUGAGUAACACGUGAGUAACCUGCCCUUGACUUUGGGAUAACUUCAGGAAACUGGGGCUAAUACCGGAUAGGAGCUCCUGCUGCAUGGUGGGGGUUGGAAAGUUUCGGCGGUUGGGGAUGGACUCGCGGCUUAUCAGCUUGUUGGUGGGGUAGUGGCUUACCAAGGCUUUGACGGGUAGCCGGCCUGAGAGGGUGACCGGCCACAUUGGAACGGGGAUACGGCCAAGACUCCUACGGGAGGCAGCGGGGGGGAAUAUUGCACAAGGGGCGGAAGCCUGAUGCAGCAACGCCGGGUGCGGGAUGACGGCCUUCGGGUUGUAAACCGCUUUCGCCUGUGACGAAGCGUGAGUGACGGUAAUGGGAAAAGAAGCACCGGCUAAUUACGU
This 467-nucleotide ribosomal RNA is filed under the name uncultured bacterium. RNAcentral's name for it is "partial 16S ribosomal RNA". It matches the Rfam family "Bacterial small subunit ribosomal RNA", at positions 28 to 506 of the family's 1533-position model. The record is from RNAcentral.